GGAAUAAUCACUCUGCCUUGCAUCUCUAAAAGAAAAUGAAGAUUCCCUCUACUCAGUGUUAUGGAAAAUCUCCAGGAUAUGUCAUGAAUUGGAGAGAAAAAGGUCCUGAAUAAAUCUCUGCUGGAAAGAUUAUUAAUCAGUGUGACCUUUGCAUCUGGCCGUGGCAGAAAAUCUGACCCUCCAGUCCUGUGGACUAUGAAAAAUAUGCUCAGAGCCAAACCGAGAGGGCCAGCUAUCUGCAACAGUGGCCAAAGAGCUGUGGAACAACUCUGUCCGUACCCAGUCCAGCUAAGGAAUCCUGAGCCAAAGGAAUGUCUCUGCCUCACAAGCCCUUAGAAUAAUAGGCUUAACAUACAGAAAUAGUAUAAAGAGAAUAUUGAAACUACCUGUAAUCCAUUCAGUGAUGACCACUGACAUAAGUCAACAUUUUAGUGUAUUUUAAAAUUGUGACUAUAAAAUUUAUAUGGGUGUCAAUUGAUAAAAUAUUUUAGACAUUGAUUUUUCAGUAAACAUCAAUAUCUUUCAAAAUGGUGCAAAAAUUACAUUUCUAGAUAUUUAUCUUUAAGAACUCAUCAGAAAUCCCCAGAAAGACUGUGUAUGUGUAAAGACUGUAAAUGUGCAGUGAUAUACAAUACAGGUUUGUGUAUAUUCACAUAGUUUGUGCAUAUACACAAAAAUAUAUUUUUCAGUUAUAAAAACUUUUACUCAAAUUUUAAGUCAUAAUUCUAUAUGAUUUAGAUGACUAUAUAGUACUCUAUAUGUAGACAUGCUAUAACUUAUUUAACUGGUCUGCUGCCACUGGACCUUAUUUCUGCUUUACUUCAUAAAUAACAAUGUAAAAUAUUAUUCUUGUGCAUACAACUGUGUAUGAGUCUCUAAUUCCACAUUCUGGAUAAAAUUUUAUACAAGGGUUGCUGGCUAAGUACAUGUCGCAGGCAACUUACAUUUCUACUAUACCAGUAUAUAAGAAUGCCAUUUCCUUCACACUGAGGAUAGUGCCAUAAAAUAAACAAUAGCACAAGGUAGUCUAAAGAUGAACAGAUGUGAUAUAGUGCACUUUAAAUCUUUGUUUCUUUAAAUCUUUCCUGAUGGAUUAUUUGCAUUUUUGCCCUCCUUAUGUUUGUUGAUCACUUAUAUGCCUCCCCUUUUAUUGCUUAGGAAAUUGCCAUUCAUGUUCCUUGUCAAGUUUUCCAAUGUGCUUUGAAUUUUUUCGGUUUUAUAUUCCUGGAAAUUUGUAUCAGUAAUUUUGACACUGUUACGUUUUCAGAAGUCUGAUACUUAGUUUUUUUUUUUUUUUUUUUUUUUUUUUUUGAGACGGAGUUUCGCUCUUGUGACCGAGACUGGAGUGCAGUGGCGCAAUGUCGGCUCACCACAAUCUCCGCCUCCUGGGUUCAGGCAAUUCUCCUGCCUCAGCCUCCCAAGUAGCUGGGAUUACAGGCACGCGCCACCAUGCCCAGCUAAUUUUUUGUGAUACUUAGUUUUUUAUUUUUAUACACAGACACUUUUUCAUAAAAUAUAGUCAUUAGAGCCACAUUCUGGGAUGUAGGAGUUUCAAUUUGUAAAGCAUUUUUCUACCAACUUGUUAUGUUUAAUAAAGAAAGUAAUUAUUGGUUUCCUUGGAAGAGGAGUUUUUUACUUUAAUAGCGAUGUCUUGGCAUUGCAUUCUUUCUUUGCUCAUUUUCCUCAAGCCUUAUCAAUCCACAUCACUCACAGCCAACACAUUUCGCCAGGAGGCAUAUUAUCAGAAAAUGUAAUUAAAGAAGAUAGAAGGUGACCUAAGUUUUACUCAGUUUGGGUUGCUAUAACAGAAUAAUGUAGAUUGAGUGGCUAAUAAACAUAGAAGUUUAAUUCUCACAGUUCUGGAGACUGGGAAGUCUAAUAGCAACAUGCAGACAGAUUCAGUGUCUACUGGAGGCCCACUUCCCACUUCACAGGUGGCCCUCUUCUUGCUGCGUCUUCAUGUGGUGGAAGAAGGGAGGAAGUUCUCUCAGCUUCUUUAAUAAAAUCAUUAAUACCCCUCCCAAAGCCUCCACAGUCACAACCUAAUCACCUCCCAAAGGCUUCAUCUCCCAACACCACCACAGUGAGGAUCAGAUUUCAGCAUAUGAAUUUUGGGGCGACACAAACAAUCUAUAGCACCAAAAUAUAAAUGAUUGUUUGUCUCAAUUCUGACUUUCUUAACCCAAGGUUAUUGAUUUCUAACAAAUCAAUAUCAGUUAAUUUGUAUAGUAAUAGUUUGCUUUUAUGUGUCCUAUAUUUUACCAAUAUUGUUGAAUUUACAUAGUACAGAUGACAUCAUGUCUUCAUAUUUUCAUUAAACAUGAAAAGAUCAUAAAUCUCACUCCCUAAAUGUAAAUCUAAAUCUAAAUCUGACUUUUCUCUCGAGGACAGAGGUCCUCGAGAACACACUACAAAAAAACUAAAGAGACAAGCAUUUUGGUAAACUCAAUUUUAUUUCUAAGUAAUAGUCUGAACUUAAAAUAUUGUUGAUGAAUUUCUCAUCUUCUUAAAAUUGUUUUGAUAUACAAUUGAUUCUUUUGUUUAAAAUGUC
Long non-coding RNA from Callithrix jacchus (white-tufted-ear marmoset), 2551 nucleotides. The record is from Ensembl. NCBI's taxonomy places the organism in Eukaryota, Metazoa, Chordata, Mammalia, Primates, Cebidae.